Drosophila ficusphila is the source of this 355-nucleotide long non-coding RNA. RefSeq lists it as uncharacterized. The record is from RefSeq and is a predicted model, not a curated record. Lineage: Eukaryota; Metazoa; Arthropoda; Insecta; Diptera; Drosophilidae. The transcript has 2 exons.
UUAUUUUUUAACGUUCCUCUUAAUUUUAAUGAAAGUUAGAAAUACGCUAAAUCUUUUCCAAAGGCAUUUGAUUGCUGUAUUCACAAUGAAGAUAUCCUUGCAAAUUCCCCUUAGGACUGGCUUCACUGUAGCCCUUGGCUGAUGGUAAUCCCGGCUGCAUCGCCACACUCUGCCCCUUGUUUGAAUCCAGCGACGCUCGCCGGAGGACGAUUGUCAUGCCAGAAUGCGCACUUCCGCGUCCGCAUUUAGUUAGUUGUUGUGUCUCCGGAAUUCCGAAAUCGCGCUGCGCUGCACACACAGGACUCGCCGAGACAGCGGCGCAAAUCCAAUACAAAUAAAAUUAAGUAAAAAUGCA